This 793-nucleotide ribosomal RNA is filed under the name Methanosaeta sp. enrichment culture clone A1491. RNAcentral's name for it is "bacterial SSU rRNA". It matches the Rfam family "Archaeal small subunit ribosomal RNA", at positions 85 to 879 of the family's 1478-position model. The record is from RNAcentral. Lineage: Archaea; Methanobacteriati; Methanobacteriota; Methanomicrobia; Methanotrichales; Methanotrichaceae.
ACUGCUCAGUAACACGUGGACAACCUGCCCUUAGGACGGGGAUAAACCCGGGAAACUGGGUAUAAUACCCGAUAGGUCUCGAUUGCUGGAAUGCAUCGAGAUUUAAAGCUCCGGCGCCUAAGGAUGGGUCUGCGGCCUAUCAGGUAGUAGUGGGUGUAGCGUACCUACUAGCCUACGACGGGUACGGGUUGUGAGAGCAAGAGCCCGGAGAUGGAUUCUGAGACACGAAUCCAGGCCCUACGGGGUGCAGCAGGCGCGAAAACUUUACAAUGCUGGCAACAGCGAUAAGGGAACCUCGAGUGCCAGGUUACAAAUCUGGCUGUCGAGAUGCCUAAAAAGCAUUUCAUAGCAAGGGCCGGGCAAGACCGGUGCCAGCCGCCGCGGUAACACCGGCGGCUCGAGUGGUAACCGUUAUUACUGGGUCUAAAGGGUCUGUAGCCGGCCGGAUAAGUCUCUUGAGAAAUCUGGCAGCUUAACUGUCAGGCUUUCAGGAGAUACUGUCUGGCUCGAGGCCGGGAGAGGUGAGAGGUACUUCAGGGGUAGGGGUGAAAUCUUGUAAUCCUUGAAGGACCACCAGUGGCGAAGGCGUCUCACCAGAACGGACCUGACGGCAAGGGACGAAAGCUAGGGGCACGAACCGGAUUAGAUACCCGGGUAGUCCUAGCCGUAAACGAUACUCGCUAGGUGUCGGCCACGGUGCGACCGUUGUCGGUGCCGUAGGGAAGCCGUGAAGCGAGCCACCUGAGAAGUACGGCCGCAAGGCUGAAACUUAAAGGAAUUGGCGGGGGAGCAC